GACGAACGCUGGCGGCGUGCUUAACACAUGCAAGUCGAACGGAAAGGCCCCCUUGUGGGGUACUCGAGUGGCGAACGGGUGAGUAACACGUGAGUAACCUACCCUUGACUUUGGGAUAACUUCAGGAAACUGGGGCUAAUACCGGAUAGGAGCUCCUGCUGCAUGGUGGGGGUUGGAAAGUUUCGGCGGUUGGGGAUGGACUCGCGGCUUAUCAGCUUGUUGGUGGGGUAGUGGCUCACCAAGGCUUUGACGGGUAGCCGGCCUGAGAGGGUGACCGGCCACAUUGGGACUGAGAUACGGCCCAGACUCCUACGGGAGGCAGCAGUGGGGAAUAUUGCCCAAUGGGCGGAAGCCUGAUGCAGCAACGCCGCGUGCGGGAUGACGGCCUUCGGGUUGUAAACCGCUUUCGCCUGUGACGAAGCGUGAGUGACGGUAAUGGGUAAAGAAGCACCGGCUAACUACGUG
This 465-nucleotide ribosomal RNA is filed under the name uncultured bacterium. RNAcentral describes it as "partial 16S ribosomal RNA". It matches the Rfam family "Bacterial small subunit ribosomal RNA", at positions 28 to 507 of the family's 1533-position model. The record is from RNAcentral.